RNAcentral lists this ribosomal RNA (207 nucleotides) under uncultured bacterium. Its description in RNAcentral is "partial 16S ribosomal RNA". It matches the Rfam family "Bacterial small subunit ribosomal RNA", at positions 568 to 774 of the family's 1533-position model. The record is from RNAcentral.
CGUGUAGGCGGCCAGGUAGGUCGGUUGUGAAAACUAGAGGCUCAACCUCUAGACGUCGACCGAAACCAUCUGGCUAGAGUCCGGAAGAGGAGAGUGGAAUUCCUGGUGUAGCGGUGAAAUGCGCAGAUAUCAGGAAGAACACCCGUGGCGAAGGCGGCUCUCUGGGACGGUACUGACGCUGAGACGCGAAAGCGUGGGGAGCGAACA